CGAGCGAGAAGUGAGAAUCGCCCUCGAUCAGACGCGUCUACGUAUACGCACAAUGGCAGUGUUGAAUCAAGAACGACAUUGAUGUCGAAUCAUUUCCCAAGCAGUGACACGGCAAUGGCGAUGUGUAACAUCGGGGCCCAAUCAUGAGCGUGAGCUCGGAGGGUAUUUUUAACGUGAAACAAUUGAGUGGCACGUUUAAUGAAAAGUCCCCAGAUUCACCCAACAAGCCUCACGAUCCUGAUCGUGUCACUGUUCCCUAGACUUCCCUAGAAUUUUUCUAUUUUCUGUAGAACCGACAGAACUGUAGAUGUACCGUGAGUGUACGGUUGACGAACACUAUGAAGUGAAUUUUGUUCGAUAAGAUUUCGAGCAAGCAUUGGGACAAUAGUGCAACGCGUGCGAUGACAAAAAAUCCUCCUAUCACCCUAAUCAAAAAUAAGUAUUUGCGCGCGAUGCAAUCUCGAUUUACCAUGAGUUUCUCCUCGACCGCCGUCGACUCUUCCCGCGGGAAUUCCGGCAUGGAAGACAUGUUGUACACCGCGUUCGAGUCCUGCAUGGACGGCGACAUGGUGUUUCGCGGCUCGUGCACGUGCACGCAACCGACCGAGAACCCGUUCAACCGUUCGCCGUACUCAUUGCGAACAACGGCUGCGGCGGCGGUGGCGACGACGGCGGGUCACGUGUUGACUUCGGCGGUGACGGUGUCCGAACUGCCCCCACGGUGUCACGCGAAAACUCGACCACAGCGGUUUUCACGCACCACUUCGCGGUAGCCACUAGCAACUGCGCAACGUACACACGGUGUGUCUAGAAACUACACGAAACCCUUUAGACCCUUUGAACUUGCAGUCGCCGGGAUUAUACGUGGGCGCACUUUUGCACGCACUCACUACGCCCGUGCACAGAGUGCUCGCUUGUAAACAAUGGUAAUCGAUAGCACAACGUGUAUGACAACAAUAUUGUAUUCGACAAUUAGCGAUGAUCGAAUAACAUUGACCAAGUGUUACGUGCACCUUUUCGUUCCAAACAGUGCCGCGUUAAGUUAUGUAGCCGCCUCGAGGUAAAUUAAAAUAUGCCACCCUUAAGAAAAUUACAAUUCAAAA
Long non-coding RNA from Sipha flava (yellow sugarcane aphid), 1103 nucleotides. RefSeq lists it as uncharacterized. The transcript has 3 exons. NCBI's taxonomy places the organism in Eukaryota, Metazoa, Arthropoda, Insecta, Hemiptera, Aphididae. The record is from RefSeq and is a predicted model, not a curated record.